Molecule: long non-coding RNA, 40664 nt
Filed under: Lathyrus oleraceus (garden pea)
Lineage: Eukaryota; Viridiplantae; Streptophyta; Magnoliopsida; Fabales; Fabaceae
Description: Pisum sativum (pea) long non-coding RNA (PSAT_LNC034117)
Source: RNAcentral
GUGGUCCAAACAAGUUUUCAAAUGAAAUAUUAAGAUAAGAUUUGAGUGUUUAAAAAAAAUUGAUUACAUAAACAAGUUCUAAUCUAGGAUAUUAUAAGAUAGUCCAAAGGUUAAUACACAUUAUCCAAAAAAUACAAAGUGUUACAAUUGAAUAAACAAGGUUAUGCUGCAUGUCCAGCUAUUGAAAACAGAGCCUUCAAAGAAACCAUUGCCAAAAGACCAUCCUUUGGAUUGAAGCACCCUAAACCAAAUUCCCUCAUGGAACUGGUACAGCAGUCGUCCGUUCCCACUUGAAAUUGGAUUUGCCUUUGCGACCUGCGAAGAAAUAAAAGCUUAAGUCAAAAGUCUUAUCAUAAGCACUUAAAAAACUGAAGAAUAAUUAAUAAUUAAUCAGGUAAAAGCUUUGCACAGAGGACCACAAUGAACGCCCAUAAAUGUAUUUCGCUACAAGUUCAACAGUAAUGAAUCCACAAAAUAAAAAUCCCACGAAAUCUGGGAUGAGCAAAAGAUAUCCUGACAGAUUAUCCUAGGAGUUACUAGCUCAUCAUGAAGAGGAUAAGCUACACAGUCUCAAUAUUAGUACCCAGAGAUAACACUGAGUAAAAAAAAACCAUUAAUUUUCGGCAAGAAAUCAAAAUAACUUUUCAUCAACACAACCAUCUAAAAGCGCUCAAAGGUAAAGAAGAACGGAGGAAGACGAAAAGAGUUAAAAAUUUAGGAGGAAACUUAUCUUGAACGCCGCGGAGAAGACGUCGCCGACGAUCCACUUCCGAUCAAGUAUACCCCUUCUUUCUCCUUCGCUUAAAAUAUUUGCAUCAUUUUAUUCGCCUCGAAGAGCUGACCAAAACCCCCAUAACAAUUGCUUGAAAUCUCCGCCGUAUAGCUUCAUUUGCAGAGUUAGGGUUUGACCUUGAAUGUUUAUAUUUAAUUUGUUUUUGUGUUUGUUUGGCUUGAGGAGGAGAUUUAUAUGGUUUGGUUUGUGAAAAUUUCCGUUUAGGAUUUUGUGUGUGAUUUAAGAUCUCCGAUCUGAGACACUGGUUAGCCUUUUGUUGUUUUCGUGACCGGAUCUGUGAUCGUGAGGUUAGAAUAGGUAGGGUUGGUGUUUCGAGUUUAGACUUUGGGGUAGAGGUUCGCCGGAGAAGAAGGUGGCGCCGCCGCCGUUGGCCGGCCACCACCGUCUUCUCCGGCAGGUCGCGACCGAAGGGAUGGUCGGAAAUUGCAGAUCAAUUUCUUUCAUUUUCAAGUGAAGAGAGAGAAGGUAGGUUACAAAAUGAAGUUGUUCUGUUGAAGUGGGGAUUUAAGGCGUGGCCUUUUGGAUAAGUACGGUGGUGACAAGUGUCUCCACCGUGGACACUUGUCACCGGUUGUUUGAACUUUUCUAGUGGAUUCUAUGUGACGCUCAUGGACCUUUACCGUGCACUAGCAUAUUUAUCGUUCGUCCACCCUUGUUGACUUAAUCAAGUCACGAGAUCUAACGGCCUUUGAUUCGGAUGCACGGUUAAUUCGUUGACCAGGAGAUCCACUGGAUUCAUGGGCUGAGGCUGGGGCCUCCGAAUUGGGCCCAAAAUCUUGCCUUUUCGCACCCCUUUACUGUCAUGCAGUAAGCCCAUCUUUUAAAUACUACUUAUUUAUUUUCACCAAUUUUCUCUUCCCAUAUUUUUAUGUAAAAUAUAUAUAUAUAACUAUUAUUACCAUAAACUUAAUUUAGCUAUUUCAUUUACUUAACUAUUAUUUUAAAUAUUUAUUUGUAAAACUCAAAAUUAAUCAUGGAUUUGAUGCUUUAUUUGUAAACUUAAAAUUAAUUGUUAAUUUAAUUUGUAUAUUUGUUUGAGCCAUCAUUUUCGUAUAUGUUUAUUAAACUCAUUGGUGCAACUUCUAGGUCCGAAUGAAUCAUGUUCUAUCUCAUAUCUUUUCAUAUUAGCAUUCAUCAUUUAAUUAUCAUAAUAAAUCAUUAAAAUCACACAAUUCUCGAUUCAAAGGUCGAGCCUAUUUUCAAACACCCUUGUAAGCCGAUUGCUUUUAAGCAUCGCCAUCAACCUCACGUAGCUUGCUCUUGGGCUUUCUUACAAUGAGACCUAGUCGAUUAUUAAUUGACCGAUUAGAUGAACUAUUCACUAAAUAAAAUCCACUUCAUUCGUAAACAUAAAUUUAAAACCUCGAUCCAACAUCGAGUAUUCUUUAUUAAAAUUAAAUUAAAAUACCUAAUCACAAUUAGAUAUCAUUUCAUUUGGAAAUGAAAUAGGAGAUGGUUUUAAGUUUUCAACUCCUCUCAUCGAUUAUUUGAAUACGAGUUCUUUUACUCGGUUAGUCGAAUAAUCGUCAUUUCUAAUCCACUUAAGCAUAAUUCAAUCAAAGCGUUCUUACAAUAAAUAAAAAAAAUGAAAUGGGGAAUGGUUUUGAGUUUUCAACUCCUCCCCUCGAAUGUUUGGAUACGAGUUUUCUUACUCGGUCAGUUAAACACUCGUCAUUUUGUUAUAAACUUCUAAAACCCGAUUAAAUCAAAUUAUUUUCAUAAUAAGCUAAAUGAAAAGGGAGAUGACUUUGAGUUUUCAACUUCUCACCCCAACUGUUUGAAUACGAGUUCUCUUACUCGGCCAGUCAAACAAUUGUCAUUUUUUACAAAACGUACAACUUAGUCAAAUCAUUUUCAUAACAAAUUAUACGAAAAAGGAGAUGGUUUUGAGUUUUCAACUCCUCUUCUCAAAUGCUUGGAUAUAAGUUGUCUUACUCAGUCAUUCAAGUACUUGUCGUUCAUUCUAAAAUACGUCAACCAUACGCAAACUAAUUUUCAUAAUCACUCAGGUGAAAAAGAUGUUGGUGUAAGCCCUAGAGGCCAAUACCUUUUGGUACUUGUAUCGAAUUAUUUAUUAAUUAUAAAAGGCAUUUUCUUUAUUAUGGUUGAUUAAUAAAGCCCCUGGAAUAGAUAGUCCGUUUAAUGUAUUAAGUGUGACUUAAUCAUGAGAACACAUUAAACUUAAGAACGGUAUUCUUAAAGUAUCCGUAGUCGAGCUUUAGUGUGAAGUGGGAUAACAUUAAAGCAUUAAGACUAUUAUGUUUGUAGACUGAUGAUCACGUCUCAUGGAUCAUGGAUAAAAAGUUAUCAAGUCUUAAACAUAGGUAUGAAUAUUAGGAGUAAUAUUUAUACCGGAUUGACCCGCUAUGAGAAUACUAUAUCAAACGUUAUGCAAAGUGUCAUAAGUUAUUCUCAUGGUGAUAAUAGUGUAUUCCACUCUUCGACCUGAAACCACUAUGGACCCUAGAUGUAGAGUCGAGUGCUUUAUUGCUGAUCCAACGUUGUCCGUCACUUGAUAACCAUAAAGACAGUUAAUGGGUACUCCACAAAGCAUGCUGAGGGACAUGAGUGACCUAGAUGGAAUUUGCCGAUCCUGCAUAACAGGAUAAAUGUCUAUGGGCCCCAAUAUUGAACUGGACAAGGAUGACACGGUCUAUGCCUUGUGUUUAAUAUAGACAUAAGGGCAAAAGGGUAAUUAUACACAUAAGUAUUAUCACAAAAGGAAUUGUCAGAUCACAUGACAUUUUUGUGUUUGGGUAGCAGUGAUGUGUUGCUAGAUAUCGCUCACUUUUUAUUAUGUUAAAUACGUGAUUUAAUAUAUUGUCAACGCGCGAAAACCUACAGGGUCACACACAAAGGACGGAUUGAUGAGAGAUAGAGUAACUAAGGAAUACCGUAAGGUACGGUGCCCUUAAGUGAGUUAUGGAACAUCGUAAGGUACGGUGUACUUAAGUAGAAUACUAAAUAUGGUAAGGUACCAUGUGCUUAAGUGAUUUUGGGCAUAUUAUAAGAUAUGGGCCAAAAUACACUUAAGUGGGAUUUUAGCUUGAAGCCCACACAAGUGGUUCUAUAAAUAGAACCCUUGUGCAGAAGCAUUAAUUGCAGUUGCAUUAUUUCGUUUUUUCUCUCUCUCUCUCUCACUCAAAGCCUUCAUUCGUACCAGCUAGCACUGAGAUUGAAGGAAUCCGUUCGUGUGGACUGAGUAGAGACGUUGUCAUCGUUCAAUGUUCGUGAUCACUUCGUGGAUCUGCAUCAAAGGGUUUUAAUCGUCAUAAGAGAUUUGCACCAAAGGUUUCAAUCGUCACAAGAGGUAAAUAUUUUAUCACUGAUCAUGACCAUUCGUAAGGAUUUCUAAAGGAGAAAAUUUUAAUUUCCGCUGCGUUUUGGACCACAAUUCUCCUUCAAAAGAAAGUGGUCUAGAGUCUUCUAUUCCCUUUCCCGUUUAUUAGGAUACGAGUUGUCUUAAUUGAUUAUCCGAGUAUUCGUCAUCCAUUUAAAACACCUUAACUAUUAUCAAAUCCUUUGUAUAAUUAAAGAUGAAAAAGAAAGUGGUCUAGAGUCUUCUCUUCCCUUUCCCGACUGUUAGGAUACGAGUUGUCUUACUCGAACAUCCAAGUAAUUGUCAUCCAACCAAAAGUAUCUCAACCAAUCAUCCAACAUAUUAAUCCAACUUGUCACCCCCGUGUGGCCAAAACUCUUUUCAAAAAGACGCUGUUUAAUCCCUUCUAACGCGCAUAACAAACUAGUGCUCAAGCCUCCGCCGAGAGUAGACAAGCCAAAAUUUAGCCUUUAAAAUGCGAUCUAAACAGAUGUUCAUUAAAAAACACACCAACCAACCGUAGUUCCCCGAACUAUAAAUGCUCUGAUUUCCUUAUUGCACCAUAAGGAUAAGUAGGCAAGAGAUUGUUGUAUCUUCGCGAGCACACUAAUAAAAAACCUCCCAUUUCCCCCUUCUGAGGUCUUCAUCCAUAUCUAUUAUCAACUCUAAUUACUCGAAUAAAACAAACAAACAUAAAUUAACACUCAAAUCACAUAAUUGAACUAAAAGGUUUCCGUUGAGUACAACGAACGUGAAGGGUGCUAAUACCUUCCCCUUGCGUAAUCCACUCCCGAACCCGAAUAUGGUUGCGACGACCAUUAUUCUUAUUUUUAAAGGUUUUAUCGCUAUUUUCCUAUUCCUUCAUGGGAAUGAAUAAAGUUCGGUGGCGACUCUUUUUCGAACUAAACAUUUUUCCGCGUCCAUCGCGAGGGAUCACAUUUUUUUUGAGGUGCGACAGAGGGCGACUUUGCUGGGGAUUAGCUCCAAGCAAAAGAGAGUGAAGCCUAAUUUAGUUCAGUUGAUGUAUUGUGUGUUAAUUUUGUUUAUUUGUUUUUUAUUUAUCCUGUUAUAAUUAUUGUCUGGUGUUUUAUUGGCUAUGUAUUAUUGGGGUUCUCUGGUUGGUGAUACUUUGUGAGAUAGGCUCUCCACCCGAGUCUGAGAAAAACCAUAAGAUUAAGUUGGUGGUUGCGUAGUGAAGAUAGGCUCUCCACCCGAGUCUGAGAAAAACCAUAAGAUUAAGUUGGUGGUUGCGUAGUGGACGCCCACAAGGAGUCUUCCUUGUUGGGAAGAUACGAAGACCCCGCCUAGAGGAGAUUCUCUUGAAAUAUUAUUGCCCGACAAGUUUUCGUCACGAUGAUAGUAUUCUCAAGUUGGAUCAAUGACUCUAGGGACCUUUAUACCCACUAUAUCUGGCGGUUAUGUAAUAUUUACAUGAAAAGUCCCAAACUUAUUGGGUUAAUAUGAAAGCCCCAAUCAGAUGAGAUCCCUUAGGCGUAUUACUACCUUACAGUAGUAUUUCCAAUCUCGAUCUAUGACUCUGAGAACCUUAUUAGAACCUUGGACUCAAGAGUUGUGUAGUAUGGACCCACUAGGAUUUUUCCUCUUUGGGACCAUACGAAGGCCUCACCCAGACGAGACUAUUUUUGGGGAUGUUAUUGGUGGAUGAGCUUUCGUCAUGACAAUAACCUUCGUAAAUAGUGAUUGAUGACUUUGUGAACCUCUUAAAUUUAGCAUUAUUCCAAAAGGGUUUUGUUUAGUAACCAAGGAUACCCAUUCUCAAGGCUUGUGUGUUGACCUACCUGUGGCAUGCAUAACAUCAUUCAUAACAUGACAUUCAUAUUAUUUUAUUUCCAAGGAAUCUGAGUAUCAUAAGUUGUAGGAAUUCAAGAAGCUUGGAAUCAAGCAAAAGAAACAUUCACUCUUUCAAGUUUAAAGACCCCGAUCUAAGGAGAUUAUAUGACUUGGUCUCUCAGAUGCACCCGGUGUACAUAAUCAACUUUGGAAAGAAUUAUGGAAAUCUGCUCAACAUCCUCAACCAACGAGUGGACCAUACAACUUUAGUCACUCUAGCUCAAUUCUAUGACCUACCUUUAAGAUGUUUCACAUUCCAAGACUUCCAGCUAGCACCAACUUUGGAAGAAUUCAAGCGUCUUGUUAGGAUUCCUAUGAAGAACAAGCCACUAUUUGAAGGGAUAGAUGAAUCUUUGCCCCUUGAGAUCAUUGAUAGCAUGCUUCACAUGGACGAAAGGGAAGUAGAGGCUAACCUAGAGACCAAAGGGAAUACCAAAGGAUUUUCGCUAAGUUUUCUCUUGGAAAGAGCCCAUACCCUACUAAAAGCAGAAAGUUGGGACGCUUGUUACUCAGCUAUUGUGUUGGCCAUCUAUGGAAUCGUCCUGUUCCCAAAUAUGGAUGGUUUCAUAGACAUGGCUGCUAUUUGCGUUUUCCUUACUGGAAACCCAAUACCCAUCUUGUUAGCUAAUGUUUACUAUUACAUGAGCCAUAGGUACACCAAGAAGAAAGGGGUGAUUGCUUGUUUUGCUCCUUUACUAUAUCAGUGGUUUCUUGAGCAUCUUCCAAAGACAGGUGUUUGGGUAUAACAGACAGAUGUUAGUUGGCCUCAGAAAUUGGGAUCACUCCGAUCCGAAGAUCUUUCUUGGUAUUCCAAAGAAUACAUCAACAUGGACAUCGUAUUCAGCUGCGGAGAUUUCCCUAAUCUACCACUAAUUGGAACUCAAGGAUAUGUGAAUUCUAACUCGGUUCUAUCACUAAGACAACUUGGCUACCCAAUGGAAGGCCCUACAAAGGCAAGGUCUUUGGAAGCUUUUUUGUUGCUUGGCUUUAGGUUUGAGAAUCCUAGCUUGUUCCAACGAAUCAAAGAGGCUUGGAAGAGUGUCAAUCGAAAAGGGAGAGCUGAUUUGGGGAGAGCUAAUGGGAUUACAAAAGAACCAUAUUUUCAUUGGGUAAAGGAAAGGGUGGAGAUGAUCAAAAUGCCAUUUGUCACUCAGACACCUGUACCUCUUCCUGAACCUAAGCUCACCCAUGUCCCUAUUGAAGAAGUGGAUGUACUCAAGACCACCAUGGAAAAGUUAGAAAGAGAGAAUGAAGAGUUGAAGUUAAAACUCCAACAAGUCAUCAAUGAGAAAAACACCAUGAAGUGGGAGCUUGAGAGAAUGGAUGUACAACUUCAAGCACAUGUGGAAAAAUUCAACAAAGAAGAGCAUAAGAGGAAAAAGAUCAAAGUGGGACUAGAACAAGCUGACCAUUGUCUAGAUACUCUUAAGGGUCAAUUACGACGAGCCCAGAAAGAAUGUCAAGACAAUGAGAAUUGGUGGCAUCUGGCCACAAAUGAAAACAAGACGAUAAGAGAUACACUUGGGGAUCAUAUAAAAGAACUCACCAUUUCUGUUCGUCAUGCAAAGGCUGAAGCGAAUCAAGAACGUCGACUCAAAAAUAUAGCCACCGAAGCUUCUAGAGUUUCACCCAUGAUAUGGGAGGAGAAGUGUCGAGAAAUGAGAGACGCAAAAGAGUCUGCCAACUAUUGGAAGAGCCAGCUAGAGUUAUUACACCAAGACAACUCCAUAUGGUUGAAGGAACGAGAGUAUGUAACUGAAGAUUAUGAAUCCCUUAAGAAGACCAUAAACUUCUUGCAAGGAGAUAGGGAUAAGUUUCGUGCAAAGAUCGAUGGGCUAGUGGGGUUCUGUAAUUGGGCGGUUAAAGAAUUAUCAUGGAAGUUAAGAGACACAGUUGAAGAGUUGAAGGAAGAUAGCACACCUCCAACCAUAAUCAGUUUUAUUUUGCUCUGUAGAGGGUUGCUGAAGAGAUUCAAGGAAGAACUAGAAGAGCUCCAAACCAGAAAGCCUGCAAUUUAAUUUUCCUAUGUCUUAUAUUUUGUUCCUUUGACAAUGUAUUUUGAACUAGGGCCUUUUUGGACCCCUAUGUUAUGUACUUGAAUGAUUGACGUUUAAAAUUACUCCAUUAUUGCUAUUCUAAGUAUUUCUUGUUUCUUAGAAUUACUAACUGUCGCACCUCGAAAAAAUGCGAUCCCUCGCGAUGGUCGCGGAAAAGUUUGUGUUCGAACAGAGUCGCCACCUAACUUUAUUUAUCCCAAUGAAGGAAUAGGAAAAUAUCGAUAAAACCUUUAGGAAAUGGAAUAAUGGUCGUCGCAACCAUAUUCGGGUUCAGGAGUUGAUUACGCCAGGGGAAGAUAUUAGCACCCCUCACGUCCGUUGUACUCAAUGGGAACCUUUUAGUUUGAUUUUGCGAUUUGUAUGUUAACUUAGGUUGUUUGUUAUCUUCGGGUUAUAAAUAUAUUGAAAGGAGAUGGAUGGAAACCUCAGAAUGGAGAAAAGGGAGGUUUUUUAUUAGUGUGCUCGCGAAGAUACAACAAUCUCCUGCCUACGUAUCCUUAUGGUGUAGUAAGGAAGUCAGAGCAUUCGUAGUUCGGGAGACUACGGUUGGUUGGUGUCUUUUAGUGAACAACUAUUUAGAUCGUGUUCUAAAGGCUAAACGCUGGCUUGUCUACUCUCGGCAGAGGCUUAAGCACUAGUUUGUUAUGCCCAUUAGAAAGGAUUAAAUGGUUUCUUUCUGAAAAGAGCUUUGGUCACACUGGGUGAAAAGUGGGAUUAAUAUGUUAGAUAUUUUGAUUGGUUGAGAUGUUUUUAAUUGGAUGACGAUUACUCGGAUAGUCGAGUAAGGCAACUCGUAUCCUAACAGUCGGGAAAGGGAAUAGAAGACUCUAAACCACUUUCUUUUUCAUCCUUGAUUAUAAAAAAAAUUAUAGUAAUUAAGGUGUUUUGAAAGGAUGACGAAUACUCGGAUAAUCGAGUAAGACAACUCGUUUCCUAAUAAUCAGGAAAGGGAAUAGAAGACUCUAGACCACUUUCUAUUUCAUCUGAGUAUUUAUGAAAAUAAGGUUGUAUAUUGUUGACGUAUUUUGGAAUGAACGACAAGUACUUGAAUGACUAAGUAAGACAACUCAUAUCCAAGCAUUUGAGAAGAUGAGUUGACAACUCAAAACCAUCUCCUUUUUCGUACAGUUUGUUAAGAAAAUGAUUUGAUUAAGUUGCGGAAAAUGAAAAUUGUUCGAUUGACCGAGUAAGAGAACUCGUAUUCGUCCAAUUGAGGAGUGAAAUUGAAAACUCAAAGUCAACUCCCUUUUAAUUUAGCUUACUGUGAAGAUAUUUUGAUUUAAUCGGGGUUUAGAAAUUUGUAGAGGAAUGACAAUUAUUUGACUAAUCAAGUAAGAGAACUUGUAUUCAAAUAAUCGAGGAGAGAAAUUUAAGACUCAAAGUUAUCUCCCUCUUUAUUUCUUAUUGUAAAAGAAUUUGAUGUAUUUGUUCUUAAGUGGAUUAGAAAUGAUGAUUAUUCAAUUAAUCGAGUAAAAGAGUUCGUGCUUAAAUAAUCGAGGAGAGGAGUUGAAAACUCAAAACCAUUACCUCUUUUAUUCCUAAGUGAAAUAAUGUUUAAUUAUGAUUAGGUAUUUUAAUUCUUAAUAAAGAAUACUCGAUGUUGGAUCGAGAUUUUAAAUUUGCAUUUUAUGAAUGAAUUGAAUUUAUUUAGUGAAUAGUUCAUCUAAUCGAUUAAUAAUAACCGAAUAGGUCUCAUUGUAAGAAGGCCCAAGAGUAAGCCAUGUGAGGUUGAUGGCGAUGCUUUUACAAGCGAUCAACUUACAAAGGUGUUUUGAAAAUGGGCUCGACUUUAAAUUGAGAAAUAUGUGAUUUAUUUUUGAAAUUGGUUUAAAUGAUUUUAAAUCGGUGAAAUUGACAUAACCUUCCCACAAUUAUAACAUGUCAUCCAUAUGCACUUGAGACUCGGUAUAAAUAAAUAAAUACAAAAUAAUCAUGCACAUACCCUCCAUAAAAAAACAAACAAUUAUCUAAAUUAUAAGUGACCUUAAUAAUAAUAUAAUUAAUUGAUUAAAUAUUUAGUAGAUUAUUUUGAUUAAAUAAUAAGUAAUUAAAAAAUGAUGAUAUAACCAAAUAAUUGCAUAUUUACCAUUAAAUAUUAAUUAUAAUAAUAACAAUAUAAUUGCAUAUUUACUAUUAAGUACUACUACUACUACUAAUAAUAUAUAAUUAUAACUUUGAAAGAAAGUAAAUAAAAUAAAAUAUUGCUUUUUAUUUGAUAGCCAUAAAAUUCUAGUGUAUAUUUUUUAUAUGUAUAUAAAUAAAAGAAAAUAAGUGAAUAAAUUAAAAAAAAUAAAGAAAAUGGGCCAAGCAAGAGAAGAGCCCAACUCUGGGCGCUGCUGGAAAUAGAACAGGGGAUUUAUUAGCAAAAAAUCUUUGGGCCCAACCCUGAGUUGGCCCAAAACGAAACCAUCAAGGCCCUGAAUGGCUUGGUCAAACAUUGACCUCCUAUGGAGAUGUUUGGGCCCUUAGAUCAGUGGACUAUGACCUGGUCAACGAAUCCAAAGGGAGGCUUGUGAGGGCGCACCAUUAUAUGGUGGGGGGAUCCACACAGGAUCCCCUGGUUGACCUAGGAGUCAACCAACCAUGUGGCGCUAGCAGAAAGGGCCAUGUGGCGCCCAUGCAGCCACUCUCAUUUGUAUAUAAAAACAAAAAAUUGAGAGAGAAAGCCAUUUGCUCAUCUCGUUCUCUCUCUUCACUCUUAAGAAUGAAGUUGCUUUUCAACUUCCUUUUCUUCUCCAUCACCACCCCUCACGGCCAAACCUGCCGAAGAAGACGGUGGCGGUCGGCCAACCGCGGUAGCGCCGCCCUCUUCUCCGGCGACUCUCCACCCAAAACCCAAACCUUUAAACACGAACCCCACUUGUUUUUGGCCGGUGAUUUCAAAUUCGGCCUUGUUUUUCUACGAAUCCUUCUCAAAUGGCCGGAUCGAGGCCCUCCUUCAAAACACAAACCUAAAACCUAACCCUAAACUCUCUCUCUCUCUCUCUCACGCGGCCAACACACCCUAGUUCAUCAUAUCCUAAAUACCAACCAAUAUCCUAACCCUAAACUUUGAGUUUUAAGACUCUACAGUUGCGCUUUGAAGAAAAUAAAAGAGGGAUUUCAAUCCAUGUGGAAAAAUGAAGAUGAUGGUACAAAUGAUUUAAACGAGAACGAAAAUUUUACUUGGUUGGAGUUAGACGCCGACGACGUCUCCCCACCGUUCAAGAUGAGUCUUUUUUUCUUCCUUUUUAUGCUCUUUGUCUUUCUCUAUUUUCGUUUUGAAUCAUGUUGUUGUUUUGUUUGAAUCUUAGGGUUUGGAUUUUUUAUGAAUUAUUUUUUAUUGUUGCUUUCUUGGAUUUUUCAGAAUGUGUUGUUCGUUUGGUUUGAGGUUAAUAGAGAAAAAUAUUUUGAUUGUUUUGUCUUGGAUUUUUUAAAAACGUUCUUACUGUUAAUUUUGUUCUGGGUAUUUAUAUGUUGAUUUUUAGAUCUUAAGACAACUUGUUAAGUUAUCUCUUCCAGAUUUCAUGGGAUAAUUAUUCUAUGGAUUUAAGGUUGUCUGGAUUAGAUAUUGGAACACAUCCUUGGGUGUUUACUUUGGUUUACUGUGCAAAGAAUUAAUCUGUCCCUCUUAUCAAUUGUUUUUCAGUUUUUUAUAAGUGCUUAUUUGAUAAGCUCUUCUUAAUCUUUGAAUUGGUUUUGCAGGUUUUGUAAAAGGUGAAUGGACAUUGAUUGAAAAGGGGGCCUGCGCUUACUUUAGGGAUUGGAAUUGGGCGCUGUGAAUUUCAAAAAGCUUUUGGAAAAGUCUUUGAAGAGCUGCUUCAAACUGCUGUAUUCUACCGUUUGUUUCCAACUUUUUCAACUUUAUUUAGAUGUACUCAGAACUUUUGGACAAUGUAUAAGAAUUUGGGGACUGUUUGUAAUACGUACAAAUUUAAUUUGAAACUUAUUUUUUGGAUAGUUAUAUAACUAUUUUGGAUUAUUUGGAAUUUGGAAUUAAUUAUGUAACUUUGGAUUAUUGUGAAUUUCUUGGACUAUUUGGAAUUUUGGACUAUGCAUCUAAUUAUGCAAUUAAUCAUUUUUAACAUUUUAAAUCUUGCCUUAACAAUUUAAUUGUAUUAAUCAAAAGAAAGUUUAAACUAUAUCUCGAACUGAAAAUGGAUUGGGCCAAAAUGCAAUUUAAUGGAUUUUUAACUUGGUCAACUUUAGCACAUUAAUAUUAACCAAAAUAAAAUGUGCCAAAAGGCCUAAAAUAAAACAUGUCACAAAAAAUAUUGCAAUUUCAAACUUUGAUCAUAAAAACCAAUCAAAUACUCAUACAUGUGGUAUCUUGAUCUAAACCAACAUACUUAUACUUAGAAAAGAUGCAAGUUUAGUUUAAGGUUUUUUAUGAAUGGUUUAGAGAUUUGGCAUAUAUAUUUGAGAUGUGCAAAUGAGUUUAAUGACAAGUGAUCAUAAUCAUGUCUCUUAAUACUUACUGAUAAUCAAAUGGACUUUGGAUAAGUGACGUAAAAAGAUUUGAACCACACUUUUCAAUAUUAAUUAUGGACAUGUCUAUGUGAAUGGGCCUUUUGAAACAAAGAGAUCUCAUGGAUAAACCAAAAUGGGCCUUGUUAACCAAAAAUGCACAUACCAUCCCAUGCUUUAGUAAGAGACAAAUGCAACAGAUAUCUUCUUAAGGAUCUCAACAGAUAAAAAUGUCAUUGAAGACUUGAUGUCACCAAGGACUGAAAAACCCUAAAAUAGAACCUACAUCUUAAGAUAAAAUUCAUGUUAUAACAUUGGGUAGUGAAUGCAGGUUGAAGAUUUUUCCUUACCCGGACAAAAUUAGGGUAUGACAGCUGCCCCUAUUUAAUUAUCUCGAACCGAAAAGUAAGAAUGAUAGCAGUCUUCGUGCAUUCGCGGUGGGAGAUAAUUAAAUACAAAAAGACCCAAAUUUUGUCCUAGGAAAUGCAAAGAAGAAAAUAUAGGAAGAAAAUGCAGUGAGAAAUGGUAAAAGAAAUUAUCCUACAGUAAAAUGGAACAGUCAAGACCUUCUGAGAGUUGUCAGAACAGUAUCUUGGACAUCUCAGUCGAGAUAUGUUAGUAAUGGAAUGACAUCCCUAGCUAAACCUUAAGACUUUUUCUAGGAUGCUAGAAUAAUAUAAAGAAAAUCUGGCAUGAGACUCUUCAUUUUGAUGAAGCAGCAUCUCAAAUAGUAAAAAUGAGAUUCUCUGUAUCGGGUCGAAACAGCAUCUUAUAUGAUAGAAUUAAGAUAUUCCAGCAAAGAAAAAAUACCUUAAUUGAAUCUAAGACUCUCCGAGGAUACUAGAGUAGUAUCUCCAAAAAGAAUCUGAAAUAAGACUCUUCAUAUUGAUGAAGCAACAUCUCAAACAAUAAAAAUGAGAUUCUCUGUAUCGAGUCGAAACAACAUCUUAUAUGAUAGAAUUAAGAUAUUCCAGCAAGGAAAAAAUACCUUAAUUGAAUCUAAGACUCCCCGAGGAUAUUAGAGCAGUAUCUCUACAAGAAAAAUCUGAAAUGAGACUCUUCAUAUUGAUGAAGCAGCAUCUCAAAUAGUAAAAAUGAGAUUUUUUGUAUCGAGUCGAAACGACAUCUUAUAUGAUAGAAUUAAGAUAUUCCAGCAAGAAAAAAUACCUUAAUUGAAUCUAAGACUCUCCGAGGAUAUUAGGGCAGUAUCUCUAAAAGAAAAUCUGAAAUGAGACUCUUCAUAUUGAUGAAGCAGCAUCUCAAACAGUAAAAAUGAGAUUCUCUGUAUCGAGUCGAAACAUCAUCUUAUAUGAUAGAAUUAAGAUAUUCCAGCAAGAAAAAAAUACCUUAAUUGAAUCUAAUACUCUCCGAGGAUAUUCGAGCAGUAUCUCUAAAAGAAAAUCUGAAAUGAGACUCUUCAUAUUGAUGAAGCAGCAUCUCAAACAGUAGAAAUGGGAUUCUCUGUAUCGAGUCGAAACAUCAUCUUAUAUGAUAGAAUUAAGAUAUUCCAACAAGGAAAAAAUACAUUAAUUGAAUCUAAGACUCUCCGAGGAUAUUAGAACAGUAUCUCUAAAAGAAAAUCUGAAAUGAGACUCUUCAUAUUGAUGAAGCAGCAUCUCAAAAAGUAAAAAUGAGAUUCUCUGUAUCGAGUCGAAACAUCACCUUAUAUGAUAGAUAUAAGAUAUUCCAGCAAUUAAAAAAUACCUUAAUUGAAUCUAAGACUCUCCGAGGAUAUUAGAGCAGUAUCUCUAAAAGAAAAUAUGAAAUGAGACUCUUCAUAUUGAUGAAGCAGCAUCUCAAAUAGUAAAAAUGAGAUUCUCUGUAUCGAGUCGAAACAACAUCUUAUAUGAUAGAAUUAAGAUAUUCUAGCAAGGAAAAAAAUACCUUAAUUGAAUCUAAGAUUCUCCGAGGAUACUUAGAGCGGUUUCUCAAGCAAAUAAAUGAGACUCUUCAGAUAAAUGAAGCGGUAUCUCAAACAAAUAAAUGAGAUUCUUCAGAUAAAUGAAGUAGUAUCUCAAAUGUUCGUCUGUUGGGGGAUUUUUUUUUUGAAAAGACUCCUUUUGGAGGAAAUAUAUUGGCAAAACUCUGCAGGGGAAAAGCUCAUAAGAGACUUUUUUAUGGUAACCUCUGCUUGGGAAACAAUGAUUGUAAAGAAAAAUGCUAGGAAUAUCAUUAUUAAUCAUAAAGUUGAAAAAUGAUUUGUUGAGAAAUAAUCCCACGAGCAUAUGCAGGGUAAUUACUUCAUUUGGAAAUGAGAAAUGUCUAAGAUACACAUGAAUGACCUUGGAUCCUGAUAUUUUAUAUUUGAUUUUUGUAUGACGUUCCACUUUAGGUGGGAAUUCCAUGCAUGGGAUGAUGCAUGAGAUGCAUGCAAGUAUGCAAUUGCCGGGGAUAUUUGGCUGGGCAUGUAGGAAUGCGAAUGAUUUUUUUAUUUUGUCAAAAUUCCAGUCUUGUGGGGAGUUUUUAUGCAUGCAUAUGUUGAUGAUUGGUAUGACUAUGUUAAUUUCCUGUUUGGUAGGAAGACCAUUUAUGAAUGAUUUAUAUGAUGCAUGUUAGAAUGCAAAUGGGUAAUUGGAUAUGCCCCGGUUAAGACGUUUUUGCUUUGGGGUAUGAUGCCAAUAAUGUGGAUUUUUGUUAUUUGGGGCGAUUAAUGAAGAUCAAGUUUUGAUGCCCCACUAGGUGAUUUUGGGAAUAUAUUUGGGUUGCUCCAAGUUACCGAGGGGUUCAAACUUCUCAACACGCGAUACUCCAUCUAUGAUUUAUCAAUGUUUCUGCUGGAAACGUAAUGGAGCCUUGCCCCAGUUUGGCUAUACCAUGAGUAUAUUUAUGAGAGGUGUGAAUUAAUGGUUGAAAGGAACAUAGGUAUCUGCAAACAGUCCUACACCUUUAUGAAAAACAAGAAUGAACUUGGAGACUAAAGGAUUUGUCCGCUUACUGUUUCAAAAGAAAUUUUACCACUUUAUUCAAACAUGUGUUUUAUUUUCUCCAAUAAUUUUUAAAAGUGAUGUUUAUCAAAAAUAAAAUAUGCUUUGCAAACAAACAGAUAAAAUACAAAAAAAUGAUUUGGGCAUAUUGUGUUGAGAAAAUAUCUCUUUUAUUGACUUGACCCUUAAAUGGGCGAUUGUACAUAAAGAUGCAAUUCCUUAAUGAGGUAAUUGUUGUGCAUAGAAACAAAAUGGCAAUGAAAAUUGAGUUCUUAUUGAGUUCCCACACUGCUAUGAUCUUUAUGUCUUUGAUAGUCCGAGCACUUUGCUUUUGAAAAGUAAGGUAGAUUGAUUCUUUGUCUUCGAGGGAUAUGUUAGACACCUGAAAGUACAACUCUUUGCCUUGGAAUUAAUCCCUAACUUUUGCAUGGACCGCCCUUUCGGGUUUUUGAUCCACUGGGAUACCCUUUUUUUGCCUGAAUCUGCCUUUCGGGUUUUCAACUCAGCGGGUCAAUUCUUUUACUUUUAUCCCUAAUUUUUGCCUGGAUCGCCCUUUCGGGUUUUCAAUCCACCGGGAUAGCCAUUUUUGCCUAAAUCUCCCUUUCAGGUUUUCGAUUUAGCGGCUUUUAUUAUUCCACUUUUUUUAGGCGAAGUACUUUUUAACAGCAUCAAUGUUGGUGGGAAGCGGCAACUCAUCACCAUCCAUAGUAGCUAGAAUCAGAGCGCCUCCGGAAAAGGCUCUAACCACCACAAAUGGACCUUCAUAGUUUGGUGUCCAUUUCCCUCUAGAGUCUUUGUGAAUAGGCAAGAUUUUCUUCAGCACCUAAUCUCCCUCUUGAAACACCCUGGGCAGAACUUUCUUGUCGAAUGCCUUCUUAAGACGCCUCUAAUAGAGUUGACCGUGACCUAAUGCUUUCAAGUGUUUCUCCUCAAUAAGGUUGAGCUCGUCGUACCUUGAUUGAACCCAUUCUGCCUCGUCUAGCUUAGCCUCCAUCAAGACUCUCAUUAAUGGGAUCUCCACUUCUAUAGGGAGAACUGCUUCCAUACCGUAUACCAAGGAAUAAGGGGUUGCCCCUGUUGAAGUUCGUACCGACGUGCGAUAACCAUGUAAUGCAAAAGGUAAUAUCUCAUGACAAUCCUUGUACGUGACAACCAUCUUUUGGAUGAUUUUCUUGAUAUUUUUAUUUGCAGCUUCGACAACCCCAUUCAUCUUAGGUCGAUAGGGUGAUGAGUUGUGAUGCUUGAUCUUGAACAUUGUGCAUAACUCCUCCAUGGUCUUUUUGUUGAGAUAGGACCCGUUAUCAGUGAUGAUUUUGUUGGGAAUCCCAUAUCGACAUAUGAUGUUGUUUUUUAAGAAACGGGCGACUACGUGCUUCGUCACAUCCGCGUAAGAUGCGGCUUCCACCCAUUUGGUGAAGUAGUCUAUGACCACCAAGAUAAAUCUGUAUCCAUUAGAUGCUUUGGGUUCUAUCAUCCUAAUCAUGUAGAUGCCCCACAUAGAGAAAGGCCAAGGUGAUGCUAUAACAUUCAACGGGGUAGGCGAUACAUGUAUUUUGUCAGCAUAGGUUUGGAAUUUGUGGCAUGUUCUGGUGUAAUGGUAACAAUCAUCUUCCAUCGUCAACCAGUAGUAACCUGCCCUUAGGAUUUUCUUCGCCAUGGCAUACCCAUUGGCGUGCGUACCGAAAGACCCUUCAUGUAUGUCCCUCAUAAGCUGAUCCGCUUCGUGUUUGUCCACACACCUUAAUAAAACCAUGUCAUAGUUUUGCUUAUACAACACCUCUCUGUUCAAAAGGAACUUUGAUGCCAUCUUCCGGAGGGUCCUUUUGUCAAGGAUGGAAGCCUCUGCCGGAUAUUCCCGCUUCUCCAGAUACCGUUUGAUAUCAAAGAACCGGGGUUUACCAUCUAGCUCUUCUGUUGUCGUCAGGCAAUGAGCAGGUUCGUCAAAACGCCUAAUUUCAAUGUGAGGCUGAUGGUUGGGCCAUAUAAAUUUGUACAUGGAAGCCCAAGUUGCUAAAGCAUCUGCCAUCUGAUUCUCUUCUCGAGGAAUAUGAGAGAAAGUGAUUUUGUCUAACUUUGGGAGUAGCUUCAGCACGUAAUCCUGGUAUGGAAUUAGGUUAGCAUGUCUUAUUUCCCACUCGCCUCUAAUCUAAUGUAUGACUAGCGCGAAGUCCCCGAAUACUUCUAGUACCUUGAUCUUUAACUCAAUGGCUUCUUCCAACCCUAAUAUGAAAGCUUCAUACUCGGCCAUGUUAUUUGUGCAGGUAAAAUAGAGCUUUGUGGUGAAUGGUAGAUGGAAAUUCUUGGGAGACAUCAUCACUGCCCCAAUUCCAUGGCCUAUUGCAUUUGAGGCACCAUCAAACAUGAGCGUCCAGCCUGCUCUUGACUCAAGACUUUUCUCUAGUUCGGAGUCUUCAACAUCCUUAACAACCAUGAUGUUCUCAUUUGGGAAGUCAAAUUUCAAAGAUUGGUAAUCUUCCAGUGGUUGGUGAGCAAGGUGGUAUGCUAAUAUGCUUCCUUUGAUCGCCUUUUGCGCACCAUAUUGGAUAUCGUAUUCUGACAACAACAUCUGCCACAGGGCAAUUCUACCAGUGAGAGUUGUUUUCUCGAAUAUGUACUUGAUGGGAUCCAUUUUAGACACCAACCAUGUCGUGUGAGUUAGCAUGUACUGCCUGAGACGCUUAACGGCCCAUGCGAGUGCACAACAAGUCUUCUUGAGUAAUCAAUAUCUGGUCUCACAAUCAUUAAAUUUCUUGCUCAGAUAAUAUAUGGCAUAUUCUUUUCUACCAGUCUCAUCUUGUUGUCCCAAUACACAACCCAUGGACUCGUCGAGCACAGUUAGAUAUAUGAUGAGAGGUCUCCCUUCUGCAGGGGGCAUCAGAAUUGGUGGCUCUUGCAAGUAUUCUUUAAUUUUAUCGAAGGCUAUUUGACAGUCAUCGUUCCACUCUACGCCUUGAUUCUUCCUCAUGAUCUUGAAUAUUGGUUUAUAUGUUGCAGUAAGGUGAGAGAUAAAUCUGGCGAUGUAAUUUAGCCUUCCCAAGAAACCAUGAACCUCCUUCUCAGUCCUUGGUGCAGGCAUGUUCUGAAUGGCUCGAACCUUGUCAGAAUCUACUUCAAUUCCUCUUUGGCUUACAAUAAAGCCUAAAAGCUUCCCAGAUCGAACCCCAAAUGUGCAUUUGUUAGGAUUAAGUCUUAACCUAAACUUCCUCAAACGAGCAAAUAGUUUCCCCAGGUUGGUGAUAUGUUCUUCUUCUGUAUGGGAUUUGGCAAUCAUGUCAUCGACUUACACCUCAAUCUCUUCAUGAAUCAUGUCAUGAAAGAGAGUCACCAUGGCACGUUGAUAUGUUGCCCCAACGUUCUUUAAUCCAAACGGUAUUACUUUGUAACAAAAGGUGCCCCAAGAGGUAAUGAAUGUGGUCUUCUCCAUGUCCUCGGGAUCCAUUUUAAUUUGGUUGUAUCCUCGAAGAGUCUUAGAUUCAAUUAAGGUAUCAUUCCCUUGUUCGGAAUAUCUUAAUUCUAUCAUAUAAGAUGUUGCUUCGACUCGAUACAGAGAAUCUCAUUUUCUUUACUGUUUGAGAUGCUGCUUCAUCAAUAUGAAGAGUCUCAUCCCAGAUUUCUCUAAGAGAUACUGCUCUAGUAUCCUUGAAAAGUCUUAGAUUCAAUUAAGGCAACAUUCCCUUGUUCGAAAUAUCUUAAUUCUAUCGUAUAAGAUGCUGCUUCGACUCGAUAUAGAGAAUCUCAUUUUCUUUACUGUUUGAGAUGCUGCUUCAUCAAUAUGAAGAGUCUCAUCCCAUAUUUCUCUAAGAGAUACUGCUCUAGUAUCCUCGAAGAGUCUUAGAUUCAAUAAAGGCAUCAUUCCCUUGUUCGAAAUAUCUUAAUUCUGUCGUAUAAGAUGCUGCUUCAACUCGAUAUAGAGAAUAUCAUUUUCUUUACUGUUUGAGAUGCUGCUUCAUCAAUAUGAAGAGUCUCAUCCCAAAUUUCUCUAAGAGAUACUGCUCUAGUAUCCUCGAAGAGUCUUAGAUUCAACUAAGGUAUCAUUCCUUUGUUCGGAAUAUCUUAAUUCUAUCGUAUUAGAUGCUGCUUCGACUCGAUAUAGAGAAUCUCAUUUUCUUUACUGUUUGAGAUGCUGCUUCAUCAAUAUGAAGAGUCUCAUUCUAGUUUUUUCUAGAGAUAUUGCUCUAGUAUCCUCGAAGAGUCUCAGAUUCAAUUAAGGUAUCAUUCCCUUGUUCGGAAUAUCUUAAUUCUAUCGUAUAAGGUGCCGUUUUGUCUCGAUACAGAGAAUCUCACUUUUACUGUUGAGAUGCUGCUUCAUCAAUAUGAAGAGUCUCAUGCCAAUUUUUUUUAGAGGUAUUGCUCUAACAUCCUGAAAAAGUAUUGAGAUUUAGCUGAGAUAUCAUUCCAUUACUAACGUAUCUCGAAUAUGACGUCCAAGAUACUGUUCCGACGACUCCCAGAAAGUCUUGGUUGUCCCAUUUUUUACAUUAGGAUAAUUUCUCUUACUAUUUCUCACUGCAUUUUCUUCCUGUAUUUUAUUCCUUUCAUUUCCUAAGAUAAAAUUUGAGUCUUUCUUGUAUUUAAUUAUCUCCCACCGUGAAUGUACGAAAACUGAUGUCAUUCAUACUUUCCGGUUCGAGGUAAUUAAAUAGGGGCAGCUGUCAUACCCCAAUUUCGUCUGGGUAAGAAAAAUCUUUCACAAGCAUUCACCAACCAGAAGUUAUAAGGCAUAAACUCUAUCUUAGGGUUUCUCAGCCCUAAGCUACUCCAAGCUCUCCAUCCUUCCUAAAGGCACAUUCAAUACUCACAUGAUCAUUAUAAAGAAAACCCUCAGUGGCAUUAAACUUUCAACAAAUCUUUCAGUGGCAUUUCAUCUGUUAAGUUCCUUGUUCAUGACCCAAGAAAACAUCUGUUGCGUUUGUCUCUUAUAGCUGUUACUAAAGCAUGGGAUGGUAUGCGCAUUUUGGGACUUGUUGGUUAUAAAAGGCCCAUUUUUGGUUUAUCCAUAAGACCUUUUGGUUUAAAAAGCCCACUCCUAUCAACAUAUUGAAAGUUCAAAGUAUAGUUCAAAUCUUUUUUUUUACACAUACUAAUCCAAGUCCACUCUCUUAUUAGAAAGUAUUAAAAGCCAUGUUAUUUUUUAUGAUCACUUGAUUAGCCCAAGUUUGCAAGCCCAUUUUCACAUCCCAAAUAUUUGUGCCAAAUUUUAAGUCCUUCAUAGGUCCCUAAAUUAAAUUUGCGUUAUAAAAGCCAUGUUAUUUUUUAUGAUCACUUGAUUAGCCCAAGUUUGCAAGCCCAUUUUCACAUCCCAAAUAUUUGUGCCAAAUUUUAAGUCCUUCAUAGGUCCCUAAAUUAAAUUUGCGUUUUUGAAGCAUGUAUGUGUUGGGUCUAAGCUAAGUCACCAUAUUUAGACUCAUGUUCCAAGAUCCUUUGUUGGUUUCGUGGUUGGAGUUGAACUUUCCAUGCUUAUGAUGUGCAUUUCAUCUUGUUCUUUUAGUUAUAUGAUUAUUUAGCCAAUAAUAAAUAUACUAAGGGAAACCAAUUUGAAUGUUCAUUCUUAUAUUUAUGGUGGUCCAAACAAGUUUUCAAAUGAAAUAUUAAGAUAAGAUUUGAGUGUUUAAAAAAAACUUGAUUACAUAAGCAAGUUCUAAUCUAGGAUAUUAUAAGAUAGUCCAAAGGUUAAUACACAUUAUCCAAAAAAUACAAAGUGUUACAAUUGAAUAAACAAGGUUAUGCUGCAUAUCCAGCUAUUGAAAACAGAGCCUUCAAAGAAACCAUUUCCAAAAGACCAUCCUUUGGAUUGAAGCACCCUAAACCAAAUUCCCUCAUGGAAUUGGUACAACAGUCGUCCGUUCCCACUUGAAAUUGGAUUUGCCUUUGUGACCUGCGAAGAAAUAAAAGCUUAAGUCAAAAGUCUUAUCAUAAGCACUUAAAACAAUGAAGAAUAAUUAAUAAUUAAUCAGGUAAAAGCUUUGCACAGAGGACCACAAUGAACGCCCAGAAAUGUAUUUCGCUACAAGUUCAACAGUAAUGAAUCCACAAAAUAAAAAUCCCACGAAAUCUAGGAUGAGCAAAAGAUAUCCUGACAGAUUAUCCUAGGAGUUACUAGCUCAUCAUGAAUAGGAUAAGCUACACGGUCUCACUAUUUGUUGAUACCUUAGGAUUGGCAUUAAUUUUAGAAAACAAAUAAUGUAUCCACCUCUGUUGUUUUAAUAUGUUGGGUUGAAGAAAUUCAACAUCUGGACCAACAUGUCAUGUACGAUGUCACGACGUCAGGUCUGUGACAUCGCACAUGUGCAGGAAACUGAAUUAAUCAAUUCAGUAUAUGUCAUGGGAUCAGCAAGGAUAUCUGGUGAAUAUCCUAACUCCCUUGUGAAGGCCUUGAAGACUAAUUCAGAAUAUAUAUAGGCUCUAAAUAUGAAGAUAUAUAUGGAGAGAGAUUAGGAACUUGAAGACCUUGUUUAUAGCAGAAUUUUUCUGCUGAAGUUGCAACAGCAAAGAACAAGUCUGCUGCAAUUUUCUGAAGGCCCAAAUCCAGUUGGGUGAUUAGGUUAUAAAUAGCUGAUUGUAAUCUAGUUUUUGUAAGCCUCUUAGAAUGAAUUUUUAGGGGUGUGUGUAAGGUAAACCUCCCAAUCUGUGGGAAGGUUACCAUGUGUUUCUCAGUGGUAAACCUGAGAGUGUUUGUUACUCAAAGCCUGUAGGCAAGAGUAAUUAUGUUCUUGAAUGAAGCUGUGAAGCAAGUUCAAGGUGUUUGCACAUUACAUUGUAUUUGUAGUGAUAGGAAUGGAAACUGGAGGUUUCUAUCUAGGAGUUCCUAGGUAUAGAUUGCAUUGGGUAGGGAUUAAGUGAUGAGUUGUAAACGGGGGAGUUUAACUCUGAAUUGAUACUACUAAUAGUGGAUCUUCUUCCUGGCUUGGUAGCCCCCAGAUGUAGGUCAUGUUGGACUGAACUGGGUUAACAAUUUCCUGUGUUUGUUUUCCUUCUGUAUGAUAUAAUCAUGUCUGCCAUAACUAAGCAUGUAUUCCAGUCUGUUCAUCAAGAUAAUAGCAGACCUGAUACAUAGCCUUCUGUUGGAAUGUCAAUCAGAAUGUUUUGACAUUCAUCAACAACAGCACAUACUGUUUAAUAAGCUGAUGAUUUCAGUUCAGUAUGUAGUGAAGUCUGGAGUUCAAAAGCAUAACAGACCUGGCCAAAAGAUCAUUGUGAAACUGUCAAACUGGAUGUCUUGACAGUUCUUCCAGUAAGCUGAUACUGAAGUAGAGACUGGUUGGUCUUUUACAGUACAGCAAAUUUAGCAGUCUGUGUUCAGGAACUAAACAGACUGAGCAUAUGGUUCUGGGCUUGGAUGUCAGACGGAAUGUUGUGACAUUCAUUCCUGACAGCAUAUGCUAUAUUGUUGGAUGGUUAGUUUUUCUGUUUCAGGAUUUUUCUCAGGCUAUUCUUCAGGAAUCCACCAGCUGAUCUAAAAUCUAGGAAACUAACAACUAAGCUACAAUUAAUGAACCUGGCAAAUAAUCUAUUUGUUAGCUCCUUAAUAAGUGGAGAUUAGUUUAACUUGUUACAACCUUUAAUUUAGGAAAUACAAGUACAUGACCAACAAACUGGAACAAUGUAACAGAUGAUGUUCAAAACAGGAUUGAGACAUCGUGCUGAUAUCUGUGUAGGAAAACAACAGAAGAGAAGGUUAUGGUGCACAUAACUAAGUGUUCCUCCUUUCUAGGAUGACAUAGAAGGAGAGGUCGUGACACUGUGAAAAGGUGCACAUUAGUACAGAGUGUAAUAACUGUCUUGCUGUAAUAAGUACAAUGUUAGAUCAGAUGUCAUGACUUGAAGUAGAACAUCUGAAUACUGACUACGCCAGAAUUUCAAUUGGUAUCAGAGCAGGCAUCCUGUUCUGUCUCUGGAUGAGAUCCAUGGGUGAUACUUUCUGGUAGCUGGCAAGGAGUUAUGUUAGUACUGAUGCUGGAACCUGUGUAAGGUUCUGUAAUUCCCUGAAUGGUCCCUUGAAGUAGGUGGAUGGACUGUUCAUGACAGGAAUGGUGUGUACCUGUCUCUGGAGGUUGGCAAUUGGCCUGUGUGUGGGACAGCUGUGCCAGUACUAAAUCACAUUCAAACCUGGUAUGGUCUUGGAGGCCAAUCUGGUGAAGUGUGUGUUCAUAGGUUGAGUUGUAUUAUGAUUUCCGCUGCAUAAUACAUGGCAAAACUCAAACUCUGAUGUAGUUUCCCCUCAUGUGGAUGAAAGGCUGCUGUGUUCAAGAUCUCAUCAUAAUCUACUGAAGAUGUCAAAGAUACUUGAGUCUCCUCAAGUCCACUCAUCAUGACGUUCUCACUUCAGGAUGGUAAGAGUCACUUAAUCACUGAUUCUCUUACUCUCUUGAGUAGUGUAUAUGAAGACCUUGAAGACCUUCAAGGAAGGUUUGUUCCAAGGAGGUGGAACCAAUGUUCUAUGUGAUGUUAGAACAUGUUGUUCAACAAGUAUGCAGCUACUGGUUGAAGAGCAGAUGUUUUUAGGGUUCAAACAAAGGGAUAAUUCUGUUUGGAACCUACUCCUGACCUGGAAGAGGAGACAUCUGUGUGUGCUAAGUUGACAAGAGCAGGGUCAACUGGGUGUGUGCUCAAGAAGGUCAUCCCUAGAAGUUGAGCUGGUUGAGAUGUGACAUUGUGCAAUCUCCUGCUGUUAGGCAUCUUCCUGCAGUUUGAUCAGGAUUGGAUAGUUGUUCCCUGAAGUACUAUGGUGUGUUGGAAGACAAGUCUCCUGGAUGUUAGCAGUCAAUAAUGGGGUAACCUGAUUGUGAUAUCAUUUAAGGGGGCUGGAACCAUGAAUCUUGUUAUUCAAACACCACGUUCAGAAGUGGCAGUUCUUACUAGGAGUGAGAAUAUGAAGAUUCAGAGGUUGGUUGAGGUAAUAUGCUCUGGCAAUGCAUAUCUACUAUUGACUGGUGUUGUUUGUCUCACUAGUACUUAUGGUCAGCUGAAGUCUGAUUGGUCUGAUUGGAGGAGUUAGUUGCCACUGGUAGGGAUAGUGUAUGUCAUGUUGAGACAUAUGUGUACAAUGCAUGGAUAUUGGUGUGGAGUAUCCAUGAUUGUUAAGUUGAGGGGGAGUUUUGGUUAACCUCCUCAAGUCUGGUCAGCCUAGGGUCUGGUUGGCUGUUGACCUGUGUCACAUGGGUUCUGGUGGUUGUGUGACACAUUUGCAAGGAAGAAUUCAUCUCUCUCAUUCCUAAGGGUGAAUUUAAUCUGGGAAGACUUUCAAAAUUGUCUAGGUGCUUGCAAGCAGAAGAUGUUGACACAAGAAGAGUAUUUUCAAAGUAUUCUUAUGGUGGAAGUAUCUGAAGGGAUGAUUGGGAAAGGAUUUAAGAUCAAUGUCUACUUGUGCCAAGUGCAAGUGUUUAAUUGAUUAUCCUUGGAGCUCAAGAUAACUGAUGUUCUUAAAGAUGUUGGAACAUCACUUCUUCAAGACCCUGUGCAGAAUCACAGGAAGGACAGUACAUUGGCUUAUGAUCUAUCUCUUUGGUGGCAGCAAAAGCAUAUGAUCUCUGAAAAGGUUUCCUGGCAAGAAACAUGUUCAGCCUUGGUAUGUACAAGAAGAAGAAGACAUCAUAGUCUUGAUGGUGGUUACUUGGAUCAGUUUAUUUCUGAUCUAGGUAAGGAAGUGCAUUAGCUUAUGCACACUGUGAAGUCAAGAACAAGUGGCAGCAGUCUUGACAUCAUGGAAACAGCCUUGCCUUAGGAUGUGGAAUCCUUGGUAGAGCUGAAGGGUUAGUUUCUAACUGGUCCUUCUGAAGACUCAUACAUCAGAGUGUCUGAUGUCUUUGGAGAAGAAGCAGGGAUUCAUCAAGGUGUGAGCUUGGAUGACUUAACUGCAAACCUGCAGGAUGGAGGUUGUUUACUCAAACUUGGUUCCACAAUCAAGUCUAUGAGAACAUUGAACUCUUGUUCUGUGAAGGGAGGAAGUUCUUUCAAGUGGCAGAAGAAGGAGCUGAAUUCAACAGCUAGAUGUCAAAACACAAUGUUGUGACAUUUGGUUCAACAUCAGACCCUUAGUUGGUGAUGUGGCACAUCAACUUGAGAUAGAAAGGUCUACAGGGUUGUAGAUUGGAUACUUCAAAAUCUUGAAGUUCUAGUCUCACUUGAGAGGUCAGAAUAUCUUAGGGAGAAGUCUGAUAAACUUGGGGAGGUCAAAAAGCAGCAUUUGACCUUUUCAUAUGAGAAUUCAUGAAGGAGGUAAUCAACCAGUGGCAGUUGGUCUAUCUCAGAAGUGAGUUCGAAGAAUCAAGAUAAUCAACAUAAGGCAGCUGAUUAUUCUUGAGGAAAGUCUGAGACAAAUUACUUUUGAGCAGAAAAGUAUUAAGUUGAAGACAAAAGGAGGUGUUUUCUAUUCAUCCCUUGGAGCUUGUGGUAGGAGUUCUGAGCCAUCUAUGGAAGAUUAUCUCAUGUAAUGGGAUGAAAAGGUAUAUGUCCCAAUUUAUGUCUGGAUUCUUCUUGAUCAAGCUGGUGACUCAGUGAUAUCUGAAGACUAUCAGAUGGUGUUCCCUGUUAUGUGUGAAGGAUGUCCUAACGAAUGUUAGAACAUUUUGUGAAGUGGCUUUCUGUUCUGGUUAGAAGAGAGAUUGACACAGGGUGUGGAUGUGUUCAACCAAGAGGGUUGAACAGAGGGUGCGCUCUUGAAGACAUGAAGAUGAGUCUUAUGUUUUCCAUUCAUCAAGUGGGUUGAGUUCUUUUUGAAUCAGGAAGAAGGUGAAGGUCCAACCAUGUUGGAUAUGUGUGACCUCCAAGAGAGUAGGUUGUCCAUGACAGGGGGAGUUGUGCCUUUGUGCUGCAAGCAAUCACCAAGCUUGUGGUCUAUGUGUUCUCAGAUGACUAGGUAGUUAUCAGGAUGCUGUGAUGUAUGUCAAGGCUGAGUGAGCAGAAGAAUGUCUGACCGGAUGUCAUGACAUUGCCCUGGACAUUGCUGUUAAUUCCUUCUGAAUCUUAAAGUCAUUAGGAAUUAUGAGGGUGAUGUGGCUAAGUCUGAUAAACCAGAAUAAGCCUGAUGGCUACAGCUGUGUGGUACAGGGGGAGUAACCAUCAACUGAAGUGUGAAAAGUUGGCUGUAGCAGUGCUAGGUGUCAAGUCUCUACUGGAGGUAUGACAGAGGUCUUGUUGAAUACUGGCUGAAUGCAGGAAUGUUAAGACAUCGCGUGCAACGUGUCUGACUGCAUAUAUGGAAUGGUCUCCAUGCACUGGAACGGCUGUUUUGGAAAAGAAACAGUCAAGAGCUAUAAAAGGUAUUCAAAGAUAGUCUGAGAUUUUGUUGGUGAUUCUCUGACUGUUUCUCAGCAAAAAUAAAUGCAUCUUGACCAAGCAUUUAUUUCUACCGGAAAUUCCUAGGCACGGGCAGAAACACUCUUCUCCCCACAACAGAAACACUCCAAUCUCAGAAUCAUGGGGUAUGUUAAGGUCUGGGCAAGCUGCGCCUGGAUCUGGUUUUGUGAAGGGUGCCUUUACAAAUGUUUAGCUAAAAAGGGGGAGAGAAAGAAACAUAGUCCUAUAGUCCUGGGGUCGAGAAGCAAACAGAUCACUGUGGUAGAAAACAGAAAGUUGGGGUUGGGGUUAGACACAAAAUUCACCAACUGAAUUACCACUUGUGUCUUGUGAUCUGAGUUAAGAGGGCAGUUGUGCCUUGUAAUCUGAGUUACAUCAUUCGUGUACUCAGCAUUACAUAUUCUUCCGGAAGCUCUCCUGUUGAAGGGAAGGGUUCUGGUACAACUGACCCGUGUACCUCAUCUUCCUCAUGUACACCAACAUUGGUGUUCAUGGUGGGGGGAGAUAAUAAUAGAGGCUUAUUUGUUUUAGCUAAAAUUUGCCAAAGGGGGAGAUUGUUGAUACCUCAGGAUUGACAUUAAUUUUAGAAAACAAAUAAUGUAUCCACCUCUGUUGUUUUAAUAUGUUGGGUUGAAGAAAUUCAACAUCUGGACCAACAUGCUCAUGUUACGAUGUACGAUGUCAGUGUCUGAUGACCAGAUCGCACAUGUGCAGGGUUAAACUGAAUUAUCAAUCAGUUAUAAUAUGUCAUGGGAAUCAGCAAGUGGGGAUAUUGGUGAAUAUAUCUUAACUCCCUUGUGAAGGCCUUUGAAGACAUUCAGAUAUAUAUAGGCUCUAAUAUGGAGAUAUAUAUGGAAGAGAUUAGGAACUUGAAGACCUUGUUUAUAGCAGAAUUUUUCUGCUGAGUUGCAACAGCAAGAACAAGUCUGCUGCAAUUUUCUGAAGGCCAAAUCCAGUUGGUGAUUAGGUUAUAAAUAGCUGUUGUAAUCUUAGUUUUUGUAGCCCACUCUUAGAAUGAAUUUUUAGGGGUGUGUGUAAAAGUAAACCUCCCAAUCUGUGGGAAGGUUACCAUGUGCCUCUCAGUGGUAAACACUGAGAGUGUUUGUCACAUCAAGCCGUUGUAGGCAAGAGUGAUUAUGUUCUUGAUAUGAUUGUGAAGCAAGUUCAAGGUGUUUGCACAUUACAUUGUAUUGUAGUGAUAGGAAUGGAAACUGGAGGUUUUCUAUCUAGGAGUUCCUAGGUAUAGAUUGCAUUGGGUAGGGAUUAAGUGAUGAGUGUAACGGGAGUUUAACUCUGAAUUGAUACUAAUAGUGGAUCUUCUUCCUGGCUUGGUAGCCCCAGAUGUAGGUCAUGUUGGACUGAAUGGGUUAACAAUUUCUGUGUUUGUUUACUACUGCAUGUUAUUAAUCAUGUCUGCCAUAAUCAGUUGUUGUUACAGUCUGCCAAUCAAGUUAAUAACAAACCUGAUACAUAGCCUUCUGUUGGAAUGUCAAUCAGAAUGUUUUGACAUUCAUCAACAACAGCACAUACUGUUCAAUAAGCUGAUGAACUCAGUUCAGUAUGUAGUGAAGUCUGGUUUUAACAAGCAUAUCAGACCUGGCCAAAAGAGCAUUGUGAAACUGUCAAACUGGAGGUCUUGACAGUUCUUCCAGUAAGCUGAUACUGAAGUAGAGACUGGUUGGUCUUUUACAGUACAUCAAAUUUAGCAGUCUGUGUUCAGGAAUUAAACAGACUGAGCAUAUGGUUCUGGACUUGUAUGUCAGACGGAAUGUUGUGACAUUCAUUCCUGACAGCAUAUGCUAUAUUGUUGGAUGGUUAGUUUUUCUGUUUCAGGAUUUUUCUUAGGCUAUUCUUCAGGAAUCCACCAGCUGAUCUAAAAUCUAGGAAACUAACAACUAAGCUACAAUUAGUGAACCUGGCAAAUAAUAUAUUUGUUAGCUCCUUAAUAAGUGGAGAUUAGUUUAACUUGUUACACCUUAUCAAGGAAAUACAGUAAUGACCAACAAACUGGAACAAUGUAACAAGUGAUGUCCAAAACAAGAUUGAGACAUCGUGCUGAUAACUGUGUAGGAAAACUACAGUAGUGAAGUUAUGGUGCACAUAACUAAGUUUCCUUCUCUCUAGGAUGACAUAGAAGGAGAGGUCGUGACACUGUGAAAAGGUGCACAUUAAUACAGAGUGUAAUAACUGUCUUGCUGUAAUAGGUACAAUGUUAGAUCAGAUGUCAUGACUUGAAGUAGAACAUCUGAAUACUGACUAUGCCAGAAUUUCACUAUUAGUACCCAGAGAUAACAUUGAGUAAAAAAAACCGUUAAUUUUCGGCAAGAAAUCAAAAUAACCUUUCAUCAACACAACCAUCUAAAAGCGCUCAAAGGUAAAGAAGAACAGAGGAAGACGAAAAGAGUUAAAAAGUUAGGAGGAAACUUAUCUUGAAUGCCGUGGAGAAGACGUCGCUGACGACCUACUUCCGAUCAAGUAUACCCCUUCUUUCUCCUUCGCUUAAAAUAUUUGCAUCAUUUUAUUCGCCUCGACGAGCUGACCAAAACCCCCAUAACAAUUGCUUGAAAUCUCCCCCAUGUAGCUUCAUUUGCAGAGUUAGGGUUUGACCUUGAAUGUUUAUAUUUAAUUUGUUUUUGUGUUCGUUUGGCUUGAGAAGCAUAUUUAUAUGGUUUGGUUUGUGAAAAUUUUCGUUUAGGUUUUUGUGUGUGAUUUAAGAUCUCCGAUCUGAGACACUGGUUAGCCUUUUGUUAUUUUCGUGACCGGAUCUGUGAUCGUGAGGUUAGAAUAUGUAGAGUUGGUGUUUGGAGUUUAGAGUUUGGGGUAGAGGUUCACCGGAGAAGAAGGUUGCGCUGUCGCCGUUGGUCGGCCACCACCGUCUUCUCCGACAGGUCGCGACCGGAGGGAUGGUCGGAAAUUGCAGAGCAAUUUCUUUUCUUUUCAAGUGAAGAGAGAGAAGGAAGGUUAAAAAAUGAAGUUGUUCUGUUGAAGUGGGGAUUUAAGGCGUGGCCUUUUGGAUAAGUACGGUGGUGACAAGUGUCUCCACCGUGGACACUUGUCACCGGUUGUUUGAACUUUUCUAGUGGAUUCUGUGUGAUUCUCAUGGACCCUUACCGUGUCCUAGCAUAUUUAUCGUCCGUCCACCCUUGUUGACUUAAUCAAGUCACGAGAUCUAACGACCUUUGAUUCGGCUGCACGGUCAAUUCGUUGACCAGGAGAUCCACUGGAUUCAUGGGCUGAGGCUGGGGCCUCCGAAUUGGGCCCAAAAUCUUGCCUUUUCGCACCCCUUUAGUGACAUGCAGUAAGCCCAUCUUUUAAAUAAUACUUAUUUAUUUUCACCAAUUUUCUCUUCCCAUAUUUUUAUGUAAAAUAUAUAUAUAUAUAAACUAUUAUUACCAUAAACUUAAUUUUAGCUAUUUCAUUUACUUAACUAUUAUUUUAAAUAUUUUAUUUGUAAAANUUUUCUCUUCCCAUAUUUUUAUGUAAAAUAUAUAUAUAUAUAAACUAUUAUUACCAUAAACUUAAUUUUAGCUAUUUCAUUUACUUAACUAUUAUUUUAAAUAUUUUAUUUGUAAAACUCAAAAUUAGUCAUGGAUUUGAUGCUUUAUUUGUAAACUUAAAAUUAAUUGUUGAUUUAAUUUGUAUAUUUGUUUUAGCCAUCAUUUUCGUAUAUGUUUGAUUAAACUUAUUGGUGCAACUUCUAGGUCCGAAUAAAUCAUGUUCUAAGUCAUAUUUUCAUAUUAGCAUUCAUCAUUUAAUUUAUCAUAAUAACUCAUUAAAAUCACACAAUUCUCGAUUCAAAGGUCGAGCCUAUUUUUAAACACCCCUGUAAGCCGAUUGCUUUUAAGCAUCGCCAUCAACCUCACAUAGCUUGCUCUUGGGCUUUCUUACAAUGAGACCUAGUCGACUAUUAAUUGACCGAUUAGAUGAACUAUUCACUAAAUAAAAUCCACUUCAUUCAUAAACAUAAAUUUAAAACCUCGAUCCAACAUUGAGUAUUAUUUAUUAAAAUUAAAUUAAAAUACCUAAUCACAAUUAGAUACCAUUUCAUUUGGAAAUGAAAAAGGAGAUGGUUUUAAGUUUUCAACUCAACUCCUCGAUUAUUUGGAUACGAGUUCUUUUACUCAGUUAGUCGAAUAAUCGUCAUUUCUAAUCCACUUAAGCAUAAUUAAAUCAAAGCAUUCUUACAAUAAAUAAAUCAAAUGAAAUGGGGAAUGGUUUUGAGUUUUCAACUCCUCCCCUCGAAUGUUUGGAUACGAGUUUUCUUACUCGGUCAGUUAAAGACUCGUCCUUUCGUUAUAAACUUCUAAGCCCCAAUUAAAUCAAAUUAUUUUCAUAAUAAGCUUAAUCAAAAGGGAGAUGACUUUGAGUUUUCAACUUCUCUCCCCAACUGUUUGAAUACGAGUUCUCUUACUCGAUCAGUCAAACAAUUGUCAUUUUUCACAAAACGUACAACUUAGUCAAAUCAUUUUCAUAACAAAUUAUACGAAAAAGGAGAUGGUUUUGAGUUUUCAACUCCUCUUCUCAAAUGCUUGGAUAUGAUUUGUCUUACUCAGUCAUUCAAGUACUUAUCGUUCAUUCUAAAAUACGUCAACCGUACACAAACUAAUUUUCAUAAUCACUCAGAUGAAAAAGAAAGUGGUCUAGAGUCUUCUAUUCCCUUUCCCGUUUAUUAGGAUACGAGUUGUCUUACUCGAUUACCCGAGUAUUCAUCAUCCAUUCAAAACACCUUAAUUAUUAUCAAAUCCUAUCUAUAAUUAAAGAUGAAAAAGAAAGUGGUCUAGAGUCUUCUAUUCCCAUUCCCGACUGUUAGGAUACGAGUUGUCUUACUCGAACAUCCAAGUAAUUGUCAUCCAACCAAAAACAUCUCAACCAAUCAUCCAACAUAUUAGUCCAACUUGUCACCCCCGUGUGACCAAAACUCUUUUCAAAAAGACGCAGUUUAAUCCCUUCUAACGCGCAUAACAAACUAGUUCUCAAGCCUCCGCCGAGAGUAGACAAGCCGACGUUUAGUCUUUAGAAUGUGACCUAAAUAGUUGUUCAUUAAAAAAACACCAACCAACCGUAGUUCCCUGAACUACGAAUGCUCUGAUUUCCUUAUUGCACCAUAAGGAUACGUAGGCAGGAGAUUGUUGUAUCUUCGCGAGCACACUAAUAAAAAACCUCCCAUUUCCCCCUUCUGAGGUCUUCAUCCAUAUCUAUUAUAAUCUCUAGUUACUCGAAUAAAACAAACAAACAUAAAUUAACACUCAAAUCAUAGAAUUGAACUAAAAGGUUUUCGUUGAGUACAACGGACGUGAGGGGUGCUAAUACCUUCCCCUUGCGUAAUCCACUCCCAAAACCGAAUAUAGUUGCGACGACCAUUAUUCUUAUUUUUAAAGGUUUUAUCAAUAUUUUCCUAUUCCUUCAUGGGAAUGAAUAAAUUUCGGUGACGACUCUAUUUCGAACUAAACAUUUUUCCGCGUCCAUCGCGAGGGAUCGCAUUUUUUUUGAGGUGCCGACAACUUUGAGCACUGUUUUGUUCCGAUGACUUUAGUAGGCAAUAACAAUUGAAAAAAGUGUUUGGUUACUUCACACUCAACCUUUCACCUGCCUCGCAACAAAUAUAGUGUACAACAUAGUGUAUAUGACAUGGAAAUGGAGGAUGAAUGAUAUGAUAUUGCACUGUAUCUGGUGACCCUUUCCUGAUCUUGAGGAACCUAUUGGCCACCACUUCAAGGUGGACCUUUCCCUAAGUUUUAUCUUCCAUGAGCUUUUACUAUGUCAUAUUUUGUUGUGAUUAUUGCACCACUGCUUUUACUAUCAUAAUAUCUCUUGACACUGUGUUUGAAAUAUAUUAAGAAAAUUAUUAAAAAAUGUUCUUUUAAAAUCUUUUGAAAAUAUGGUGUUGUAGAACAUGUGUUUGAAAUAUAUUAAGAAAAUUAUCAAAAACAUUUAUAGGAUUGAACCAAACUGUGCAAGUUAAUUCGUAACUGAAUUGAACUAUUAUUGAUUCACUUAACUGAUUAUGAAUUCUAAACCGAACGGUUAGUAAGUAUUAUUUUUCAAACCUACCUAGUAUCAACUUCCUAUCUAAGAUAGUUACAUGCCCCCGUUAUGCCUUAAAUGCCCUUCUUUCAUUUUCAAACCUAGCUGAUAUCAUGAGUUCACUCUGUUGUAUUCGUUUGUGGGUCUGACGAAGAGGAUUCCAUUGGAAACUUGCUUAUAACUGUGCAUGGAAACUCUGGCAACCUUACAUCUGCUUGAAGGAUAUUUGAUAGAAUAAUAGGAAAAAGUGUUCUAUCAUGGACGUCGAUGAUUGCAGGAUAUGAUGGUUCAGGCCAUCCAGAGGAAUCAUUGAGUCUUUUUAGAAGGAUGAUAAGGACGGAAACUAAAUCAAAUGGAGCAACCCUAGCAACUACUUUAUCAGCUUAUGCUGAUUUGGGAUCACUCAACAUUGGACAAGAGAUCGAAGAAUACGUUUUUGAACACCGAUUUCAAUUGGUCCAACUAGUCCAAAUGUCUGUUAUACACAUGUACUUUAUAUGUGAUAGUAUUAACAAAUCUAGAAAAGUAUAUGAAAGUGUGAAAAAUAAAGAUCUGAUUCUUAGGACUUCCACGAGGGAGGGGGAAUGAAGCUAUUAGUCUCUUUGGAAAAAUGACAACUUCAAAGAGGAUAUAACCCAAAUGCCAUUUGGUUACACGAGUCUUUUAUAUUCUUGUAGCCAUUCAGGAUUGAUAGAAGAUGGACUAAAGUACUUCAAAAGUAUGCAAACAGAUUUUGGAAUAACUCCUACAAUAGAACAUUAUACUUGUUUGGUAGGUCUCUCGGCCGAGUUGGGCAACUUGAUCUACCUCUUGAUACAAUUCAGGCGAUACCUCCAGAAGUCCAAGCCGAAGCUUUUGGUCCGUUGCUUAAUACUUGCAGGAUCCAUGACAUGCAACUUCCAAUUUAUUAGACCUAGACGUUAGUCCAAGAAGUUCUGCAAUUUAUUACACACUUGAUAUUCUUGUUUCUAAUCUAACAAUUUCAGAAGAUCUUUUGUUUGUCUGCACGCUAUUAAGUCUAAAUUAAAUCUAAUUCUGUUAAGGGAACCAGUUAUAAUACAAGGUGUACAGGUCAAGGAAUUAAGAAUUACAUUUUGUUUUUUCAUUCACUUCUGUCAUGUGUUGAUUUCUAUUUGAAGACUAAACAACAUUUUGUUUUAGUUGACAUUUUUGUUUUGGUGAUAAUUGUCAUACCCCAAUUUUGUUUGGGUAAGGAAAAAUCUUUCACUAGCAUUCACUACCAGAUGUUAUAAGGCAUGAACUCUAUCUUAAGGCAUAAGCUCUAUCUUAAGGUUUCUCAGCCCUUAGUGACAUCAAAUCUCAGUGACAUUUUCAUCUGUUGAGAUCCUUGUACAUGACUUAAGAAAACAUCUGUUGCAUUUGUCUCUUAUCGCUAUUACUGAAGCAUGGGGUGGUAUGUGCAUUUUGGAAUUUUUUGGUUAACAAUGCCCAUUUUGGUUUAUCCAUAAGAUCUCUUGGUUUUAAAAAGGCCCAUUCACAUAAACAUGUCCAUAAUAAAUAUUGCAAAGUGUGGUUCAAAUCUUUUUACAUUACUAAUCCAAAGUUCAUCUGAUUAUCAGUAAGUAUUAAGAACCAUGAUUAUUUUUUAGGAUCACUUGUUAUUAAGCUCAUUUUCACAUCUCAAAUAUAUGUGCCAAAUUUCUAAGUCCUUCAUAGGUCCCUAAACUAAAUUUGCAUUUUUUUUGAAGCAUGUAUGUGUUGGUUUUAAAUCAAGUCACCAUAUUUAGACUCAUAUGUUGGUUGUAAGUAUGCGUGUGUUGGUUUUAAAUCAAGUCACCAUAUAUAUGCAUAUGUGUUGGUUUUAUGACUAAGGUUGAAAUUGCAAUAUUUGUGACAUGUUUUAUUUUAGACUUUUUUGUCACAUUUUUAUUUUGGUUGAUAGUAGUAUGCUAAGGGUAAUCAAGUUAGAAGCCUAUUUUUAUUGCAUUGUGGCCCAAACCAUUUUCAGAUUGAGAUAAAGUUUAAGCAUUUUAAUUGAUUAACACAAGUAAAAUAUUAAGACAAGGUUUAAAGGUUUAAAAAGAAAUUAAUUGCAUAAGCGAAUUUUGAGUCUAAAGGUAUUACAGAUAAUUCCAAAGUUUACAUAACUAUCCAAAAGUUAAUACAUUAUCCAAUACGUUACAAACAGUCCAAAUUACAUCUUAAAUGGAAUAAAUUGUUGUAAAUCCAGCAGUUGAAAGCAAAGUCCUCAAAGAAGCCAUUGCCAAAACCGUCUGUUGAAGUGAAGCGCCCCCAAAUCCAACCUCCAACUAGAGCAGGCGCAGGCUCCUUUCAAUCAAGGUCUCUUCACCUUUGUAAACCUGCAAAAAUCAACUCAGAAAUUAAAAGUCUUUUCAAAUAAGCACUUUAAAAAAGCUGGAAAAUAAUUUGGUGAAUAAAAUAGAUUAAAGCUUUGCCCAGAAGAUCAUAACAAACACCCAAUUCGAACAACUGUGAAACCAUAAGAAAAUAAUCCCAUAAAAUUUGGAUGGAAAAGAUAAUCUAACAAGUUAUCUCAAGACUUAAAAAGUCAUCAUAUAUACCAAAGAAGAACACAGUGAACAGGACGGUUGAAUCAAAAAAGAAGCAAGCAAAACAUAAUUUUUGCUAAACAUCAAACACAUAAACAUCGGAAAAAAAAAACAAUAACAAAUAGCAUCCAAAGAAAAGGACGAAAUAGAGGAAGACGAACAGAAUUAAAAGGAAACAGAGACUUAUCUGAAGCGUGGUGGAGAAACUCGCGUCGCCGGCGAACCGUCCUCAAACCAAGUAGAUUUCUUCUCCUUUUUGCUUAAACUCCAUAUCAUUGCACUCGCCUUUCCAAACCGAGUAGAAACCCCAUGUCAUCUUCUUUAAAUCGUGACUGUAGAAGGUCAAAUUUCAAAACUUAGGGUUAGGGUUUCAACAGAUGAUGCUUGUUUAGGUUUUGAUUUGUGGUUAGGACAAUUUAGGGUUCGUUGGUUGCAUGAGAGAUUGUUGAAGUUAGGGUUUAAGUUUGUGUUCUUGUUUUGGAGCGCCGAUCCGGCCGUUUGAGAGAGGUUUUGGAAGAACUAAGGUCGGAUUUGGAUUCUCCGGCCAAAAAGAGGUGGGGUUUGUGUUUUAACAUUUAGGUUUUAGGGUGGGGUCACCGGAGAAGAAGGCGGCGGUGCCGCGGUUGGCCGGUCGCCACCGUCUUCUCCGGCAGUUGUUGGCCGUGAGGAGGACAGAGAAGAGAAGCUCAAUUGCAGAGCAACUCUGAGCGUGUGAUUAAAGAGAGAGAAAGAGAGUGAAUAAAUGAGGUUUUCUUUUCCAUUUUCCUUUUUAAAUGGUGCUAGGGAUGGGCGCAUGGGUGCCAAGUGGCUCCAUGUGGGAAGGCCACGCCUGGGUUGACCAUGGUCAACCAGGCAAUCCUGUAUGAGCACCCCACGAUUCCUUAUAGUGCACUGCCCAUCAGAUUCAACCCAUUCGUUUGACCAAGUCAGAUCAGUGGAUCUGACAAUCAAGAGUUUCGCUGGAGGUCAACAAGGUUAACCAGGCUCAACAUCACUUCCUUGCGUUUUAGGCUUUCAGCUUGGGCUCAAAGACCAUUUUUGUUAUUUAAACCCUUUUUUUUUCAAGUACAGCGCCCAGAUUUGGGCCUCUCUUAAUAUCAGCCCAUUCUCUUUUAUUUUUUUAACUUGUUUAUUUAUUUUUCUUUAUUAUAUUUUUUAUAUAUACAUAUAAAAUAUAUAUAUUAGAAUAUUAUGGCUAUAUAAAAACAAUAUUUUUAUUUCAUUUACUUUCUAUCAAAAUUAUGUAUAUAUUAUUAUUAUUAUUAUUAUUAUUAUUAAUACUUAAUGGUAAUUAUUCAAUUAUUUGGUUAUAUCAUUAUUAUUUAGUUACUUAUUAUUUAAUCAAAUAGUCCAUUAAUUAUUUAAUUGAUUAAUUAUAUUAUUAUUACUAUCAUGUAUAAUUCAAAUAAUUACUUAUUUUUGUGGAAUGUGUGUGCAUUAUUAUUUACUUAUUUGUAUCAAUUCUUGAAUAACAUAUGUAUGGUGUGCUUCAAUUGUGACAAGAUUAUUUCGAUUUCACCGAUUUAAAAAAAUAAUUUAAUAAAAUUUCAAAGAAUAAAUCACAUACUUCUAGAUUCAAUGUCGAGCCCAUUUUCAAAAUACCUUUUGUAAGUCGAUCGCUUUUAAAGCAUCGCUAUCAACCUCACAUGGCUUACUCUUGGACCUUCUUACAGUGAGACUUAUUAUAUUUUAAUUAAUCGAUUAGAUGAACUAUUCACUAAAUAAAUUCAAUUCAUUCACAAAAUACAAAUUUAAAACCUCUAUCCAACAUUGAGCAUUUUUUUAUUAAAAUCAAAUUAAAAUACUCAAUCAUAAUUAAAUACUAUUUUAUUUAGGAAUAAAAAGGGGAUGGUUUUGAGUUUUCAACUCCUCUCCUCGAUUAUUUGCACACAAUUUCUUUUACUCGAUUAAUCGAAUAAUCGUCAUUUCUAAUCCACUUAAGAACAAAUAAAUCAAAUCCUUUUAUAACAAGAAACCAAAACGGAGAUGACUUUGAGUCUCCAACUUUUCUCCUCGAUUAUUUGAAUACAAGUUCUCGUACUUGGUUAGUCAAAUAAUUAUCGUUCCUCUACAAACUUCCAAACCCCAAUUAAAUCAAAAUACUUUCAUAAUAAUGAAAUGAAAAAAGAAGAUGACUUUGAGUCUUCAACUUCUCUCCUCAAUUGGUUGAAUACGAGUCCUCUUACUCGGUCAGUCAAACAAUUGUCAUUUUUCCACAAACAUACAAUUUAAUCAAAUCAUUUUCUUAAACAAACUAUACGAAAAAGGAGAUGGUUUUGAGCUUUCAAUUCCUCUUCUCAAAUGCUUGGAUAUGAGUUGUUUUACUUAGUCAUUCAAGUACUUGUCGUUCAUUCUAAAAUACGUCAACCAUAUACAACCUUAUUUUUAUAAAUAUUCAGAUGAAACAGAAAGCGAUCUAGAGUCUUCUAUUCCUUUUCCCGAUUAUUAGGAUAAGAGUUAUCUUACUCGAUUAUCCGAGUAUUCGUCAUCCAUUCAAAACACCUCAACUAUUAUCAAAUCCUUUCUAUAAUUAAGGAUGAAAAAGAAAGUGGUCUAAGAGUUUUCUAUUCCCUUUCCCAACUGUUAGGAUACUAGUUGUCUUACUUGACUAUCCGAGUAAUCGUCAUCCAACCAAAAACAUCUCAACCAAUCAAAAAAUCCAACAUAUUAAUCCAACUUGUCACCUCCGUGUGACCAAAACUCUUUUAAAAAAGAACACCAUUUAAUCCUUUCUAAUAUGCAUAACAAAUCAAUGCGUAAUCCCCCGCCGAGAGUAGACAAGCCAACAUUUAGCCUUUAGGAUGCGAUCUAAACAGUUGUUCAUUAAAAAACACCAACCAGUCGUAGUUCCCCGAACUACGAAUGCUCUGAUUUCCUUAUUGCACCAUAAGGAUAUAUAGGCACGAGAUUGCGAGAUCUUGGCGAUCACACUAAUAAAAACCUCCCUUUCCCCUCUUCUGAAGUUUCCAUCCAUCUCUUUUCAAUACUCUAAUAACACGAAGAAAACAAACAAACAUAAAUUAACACUCAAACCGCAUAUUAGAACUAAAAGUUUCCCGUUGAGUACAACGGACGUGAGGGGUGCUAAUACCUUCCCCUUGCAUACUUAACUCCUGAACCCGAAUAUGGUUGCGACGACCAUUACUUUGAUGUUGGGAUACAUUCCUUUGCCUUGCCAUCCUCUAUUCAUUGAUGCACAACUACACUAUUUCACUUGUCUCAUUUAUUGCAUCUUCAAUUUGGUGUGAUAAAUUUCAACGGGAACAAAGCAAUUAGGGGCAACAUUUAUUUUUCCAAAAGCUAUGAUGACAAAGUCAAGAAAAUAUGAACCAUUAGUUCCAAGAUAUUUUGAUAAUUGUAUUAUUGUAGGAAGUGUGAAGUUAUAUUGUCCACAUAAUCACAUAGCUCUGUCACAUCACUUUGCCUCACUUUGUGUUUGUUUGAUCUCUUUUGGGUGUGAUGUUAAUAACAAAAUUAAGUUCACAUUCAGCGAGUAUUUAAAUAGAAGUUAUAUUGUCCACAUAAUCACAUAGCUCUGUCACAUCACUUUGCCUCACUUUGUGUUUGUUUGAUCUCUUUUGGGUGUGAUGUUAAUAACAAAAUUAAGUUCACAUUCAGCGAGUAUUUAAAUCCAUGCUUCUUAUGUAUUACCACAUAGUUAUCAAAUCCAUAUAAAGCCAUAUAGCAUAAACUUCUUACUGCACGAAAUGAAGCCUUUUUCUUUCUUAGCACCUAUACUUUUCUACCUUCAUCUUCUUUUUCUGUUUACUUUAAACUUAAUGUGGUUUGCUCUAAACCAAAUUGUGGCAGUAACAUUAGGAAACCAAACAGAUUACUCAAAGACAUUAGCUCCUGUUGCAAAAUUGAACGCUGUUAGAAUUCUUUUGUCUCUUGCUGCUAACAUGGAUUGGCCUUUGCACCAGUUAGAUGUUAAGAAUUCCUUUCUUAAUGGCGAUCUAGAAGAAGAUAUAUAUAUAUAUAUGGACAUACCUCCAGACUUUGAAAACAAAUUUGGAUCAAAUGUGUGCAAACUAAAUAAGUCUUUGUAUGGAUUAAAGCAGUCCCCUAGAGCUUGGUAUGAAAAGUUCACUCAGUCCGUGAAGAAACAAGGGUACAUCCAAGGACAGGCUAACCACACCUUGUUCAUAAAAUUCUCCCACGAUGGGAAAGUUGUUGUCUUGAUUGUUUAUGUUGAUGAUAUUAUCCUUACUGGAGAUGAUAUAGUGGAAAUGGACAGAGUAAAAGAGAAAUUGGCAGUAGACUUUGAAAUCAAGGAUCUGGGUUUCAUGAGUAAUUUUCUAGGUAUGGAGGUUGGUCGGUCAAAAAAUGGUAUUAUGGUUUCACAGCAGAAAUACAUUAUAGACUUGUUGAAAGAAACAGGAAUGAAUGGAUGUCGUCCUCUAGAUACCCAUAUGGAUCCUAAUGCUAAACUUUGAUGACCAUCUACCUGAGGUGACUGACUCUCACCACAUAGAUGGCUAUGAGUUUAAGAGUGCUUUGAAUGACAUGUUGAAACGCCCUUAUACUGAUGAGUUUGUGAAAAGUGACUUGUUCCCACGAAGCAUCUACCUAGUGGCUAUUGUUAUUUGAUCUUCCAUCUUCCCAAAACCCUAACCUUCCACUAUAAAUUGGGAGAAACCUCUCUCUAGCAGAAUCUCCUUCAAAACCCUUCCUAAACCUUCUCUCUAUACACAAACACCCUGUUUCACAGUUGCUCAAAUGGCCACCACAUCACGAAUACCUUCCGGCAAAAGAACCCGAGAAUCAUCCGCAGCAUCUCUUCCCAUAUCUGCUGUAUCACUCGUUCCUCCCACUCGUGUCGAAGCCUUCAACAAGGAUAUCAGCAAACGAGGAGUUGUGCAACAGCAUGCGUUCUACAAACUAACUGCUGAACGUAUGCAUCUCACUCAAAUCUUGGCUCUGCUGCAGCAUCAGGGCUUCAUCAACUUCCUGGAGUGCAACACUAAAUACAGUGAAGACCUUGUCCGAGUUUUCUACGCCGGUCUUCAUGAGAACUUUUACGGGCACAAGUUUUCCUCCAAAGUUGGCUCUACAAAGGUAUCGCUUAAAUAAAAUAUCUGGAACAAAUACUUUGAUUUGUCUGUGGAUAAUGCUGAUGACCAUCUACCUGAGGUGACUGACUCUCACCACAUAGAUGGCUAUGAGUUUAAGAGUGCUUUGAAUGACAUGUUGAAACGCCCUUAUACUGAUGAGUUUGUGAAAAGUGACUUGUUCCCACGAACUGUCACUGCCGGCAAGCUGAACGCUGGAGAAAGGAUUCUUCAAUGGAUUGUCUCACGCAUUCUGCGGCCCAAGAAGGGCGGUCUCUCCAGAGUCGAACAGGCCGAGGUUCACCUGAUUUACAUUCUGAAAAAUAAGAUAAAAAUUAACUGGCCAUACUACAUUGCCAGUAGAAUGUAUAAU